GGUACAUGUGCUGUCUUUCUAAAGUUUAUAAUAUCACAUAUUGAUGGCAUAACCGGCGAAUAAAUAACAGAGUGAUGAGCGAAGAGAAGUUUUCGGGUUGGAUGGACUACAGGUGGUGUAUUAUUGCAUCCGAGUUUGCGGAUAUAUGACGAGUCUCAAUGGUGUGCCUCAAUAAAGAUUAACCACAUUACACACACACCGACAUACAUAAAAAUCCCGAAUGUCACGAGCAACAACAGAAUAUCAUCGCAAUGAACUCCAAUCUGCUCAUUUUUAAAGCAACACAUCUGAGGUACACCUGUUCAACUCUACACGUGAGGAUUUCCACCAUACUGAUGAGCAUCUCUAUUUCAACUCGACGGGUUACAUCAAGUAGACAUUCCCUGAAACUAUUGGGACUUUGCUAUUAAUCAUUAUAUUGCUUUUCAUUAUUCAUUACCAGAUCUCCAAUUAAUAGUUUUUUUGAUCUAACUUUGUUAUUUCUGUAUUAUUGUUAUUGUUGUUAUGCAGGAUUACACUUUGUUUUGUUCAUUUAUUUGAAUGCUUUAUUAUGCUCAAUGAUUCAUAUUUAAAAUACACUGAUACACUUGAGAAAUUGUA
Molecule: non-coding RNA, 600 nt
Organism: Misgurnus anguillicaudatus (oriental weatherfish)
Lineage: Eukaryota; Metazoa; Chordata; Actinopteri; Cypriniformes; Cobitidae
Source: RefSeq, a predicted model, not a curated record